ACGCUCGACACCUACGGGAGGUAGCAGUGGGGAAUAUUGCACAAUGGGGGAAACCCUGAUGCAGCGACGCCGCGUGAGCGAAGAAGUAUUUCGGUAUGUAAAGCUCUAUCAGCAGGGAAGAAACUGACGGUACCUGACUAAGAAGCACCGGCUAAAUACGUGCCAGCAGCAGCGGUAAUCUGAGCGGGCUGGCAAGGC
Molecule: ribosomal RNA, 198 nt
Filed under: uncultured bacterium
Lineage: Bacteria
Description: partial 16S ribosomal RNA
Rfam family: Bacterial small subunit ribosomal RNA
Source: RNAcentral